UACGAAGGCCCCGAGCGUUAUCCGGAUUUAUUGGGCGUAAAGAGUGCGCAGGUGGUCUCGCACGUCUCGCGUUAAAUGUCACUGCUUAACAGUGUCACCGCGCGGGAUACGACGAGACUAGAGCAUGUAAGAGGUGACUAGAAUUCACGGUGUAGGGGUGAAAUCCGUUGAUAUCGUGGAGAAUACCAAAGGCGAAGGCAGGUCACUGGUACAUUGCUGACACUCAGGCACGAAAGCGUGGGGAGCAAACGGG
Molecule: ribosomal RNA, 253 nt
Filed under: uncultured bacterium
Lineage: Bacteria
Description: partial 16S ribosomal RNA
Rfam family: Bacterial small subunit ribosomal RNA
Source: RNAcentral